AUUGAACGCUGGCGGCAGGCUUAACACAUGCAAGUCGAGCGGAGAUGAGGUGCUUGCACCUUAUCUUAGCGGCGGACGGGUGAGUAAUGCUUAGGAAUCUGCCUAUUAGUGGGGGACAACAUUCCGAAAGGAAUGCUAAUACCGCAUACGUCCUACGGGAGAAAGCAGGGGAUCUUCGGACCCUGCGCUAAUAGAUGAGCCUAAGUGGGAUUAGCUAGUUGGUGGGGUAAAGGCCUACCAAGGCGACGAUCUGUAGCGGGUCUGAGAGGAUGAUCCGCCACGCUGGGACUGCGACACGGCCCAGACUACUACGGGAGGCAGCAGCGGGGAAUAUUGGACAAUGGGGGGAACCCUGAUCCAGCCAUGCCGCGUGUGUGAAGAAGGCCUUAUGGUUGUAAAGCACUUUAAGCGAGGAGGAGGCUACUGAGACUAAUACUCUUGGAUAGUGGACGUUACUCGCAGAAUAAGCACCGGCUAACUCUGUGCCAGCAGCCGCAGUAA
RNAcentral lists this ribosomal RNA (501 nucleotides) under uncultured bacterium. RNAcentral's name for it is "partial 16S ribosomal RNA". It matches the Rfam family "Bacterial small subunit ribosomal RNA", at positions 30 to 523 of the family's 1533-position model. The record is from RNAcentral.